AAUAAGUGCAGUUUUGCACUAUUCACCUCUAGCGUUUGACCAUUCGUUUUAUUUAAAAAUUUUUUAUGAUUACUAUUUUUAUUGUUAUUAGAUGAUAAAACAUGAAUAGCACUUUAUGUGUGACUAUUUUUUAAAAAAAAAUUCAUAAAUUUUUUAAAUAAGACGGACGGUCAUACGUUGGACACGGAUUUUCACGGCUGCACUUGUU
Molecule: non-coding RNA, 208 nt
Organism: Oryza nivara
Lineage: Eukaryota; Viridiplantae; Streptophyta; Magnoliopsida; Poales; Poaceae
Source: Rfam